AGUGAACGCUGGCUGUAGGCCUAACACAUGCAAGUCGAACGGCAGCACAGUAAGAGCUUGCUCUUACGGGUGGCGAGUGGCGGACGGGUGAGGAAUACAUCGGAAUCUACUUUUUCGUGGGGGAUAACGUAGGGAAACUUACGCUAAUACCGCAUACGACCUACGGGUGAAAGCAGGGGAUCUUCGGACCUUGCGCGAUUGAAUGAGCCGAUGUCGGAUUAGCUAGUUGGCGGGGUAAAGGCCCACCAAGGCGACGAUCCGUAGCUGGUCUGAGAGGAUGAUAUGCCACACUGGAACUGAGACACGGUCCAGACUCCUACGGGAGGGAGCAGUGGGGAAUAUUGGACAAUGGGCGCAAGCCUGAUACAGACAUACCGCGUGGGUGAAGAAGGCCUUCGGGUUGUAAAGCCCUUUUGUUGGGAAAGAAAAGCAGCAGGUUAAUACCCCGCUGUUCUGACGGUACCCAAAGAAUAAGCACCGGCUAACUUCGUG
This 492-nucleotide ribosomal RNA is filed under the name uncultured bacterium. Its description in RNAcentral is "partial 16S ribosomal RNA". It matches the Rfam family "Bacterial small subunit ribosomal RNA", at positions 29 to 507 of the family's 1533-position model. The record is from RNAcentral.